RNAcentral lists this ribosomal RNA (497 nucleotides) under uncultured bacterium. Its description in RNAcentral is "partial 16S ribosomal RNA". It matches the Rfam family "Bacterial small subunit ribosomal RNA", at positions 28 to 507 of the family's 1533-position model. The record is from RNAcentral.
GAUGAACGCUGGCGGCGUGCCUAAUACAUGCAAGUCGAGCGAACAGACGAGGUUCUUGCUCCGCUGUCGUUAGCGGCGGACGGGUGAGUAACACGUGGAUAACCUACCUUUAACACUGGGAUAACUUCUGGAAACCGGAGCUUAUACCGGAUAAUAUAUUGAACCGCAGGGUUCAAUAGUGAAUGACGGUUUUUCUGUCACUUAUUGAUGGUUCCGCGCCGGAUUAUCUAGUUGGUAAGGUAACGGCUUACCAAGGCAACGACGGGUAGCCGACCUGAGAGGGUGAUCGGCGACACUGGAACUGGGACAGGGUCAAGGCUCCUACGGGAGGGAGCAGUAGGGAAUGGUACGCAAGGGGCGAAAGCGUAACGGAGCAGCGGCGAGUGAGUGAUGAAGGUCUUGGGAUCGUAAAGCUAUGUUAUUAGGGAAGAAGAAAAGUGUAAGUAACUAUGCACGUGUUGACGGUACCGAAAGAGAAAGCCCCGGCUAACUACGUG